CGUUCCCGGGUCUUGUACACACCGCCCGUCAAGUCAUGAAAGUCGGUAACACCUGAAGCCGGUGGCCUAACCCUUGUGGAGGGAGCCGUCGAAGGUGGGAUCGGUAAUUAGGACU
This 115-nucleotide ribosomal RNA is filed under the name uncultured bacterium. Its description in RNAcentral is "partial 16S ribosomal RNA". It matches the Rfam family "Bacterial small subunit ribosomal RNA", at positions 1369 to 1482 of the family's 1533-position model. The record is from RNAcentral.